RNAcentral lists this transfer RNA (65 nucleotides) under Cyphoderris monstrosa. Its description in RNAcentral is "tRNA-Tyr". It matches the Rfam family "tRNA". Rfam says of the family: Transfer RNA (tRNA) molecules are approximately 80 nucleotides in length. Their secondary structure includes four short double-helical elements and three loops (D, anti-codon, and T loops). The record is from RNAcentral. Lineage: Eukaryota; Metazoa; Arthropoda; Insecta; Orthoptera; Prophalangopsidae.
GGUAGAAUGGCUGAGUAGUAGGCAAUAAAUUGUAAAUUUAUUUAGGAGAUAAAUCUCUUCUACCA